GCGGCUAUGGUAUAACGGUCAUUACUGAAGCUUGUGGAGCUUUAAACCAGGGUUCGACUCCCUGUAGCCGCCCA
This 74-nucleotide transfer RNA is filed under the name Parcubacteria group bacterium CG2_30_44_11. Its description in RNAcentral is "tRNA-His". It matches the Rfam family "tRNA". Rfam says of the family: Transfer RNA (tRNA) molecules are approximately 80 nucleotides in length. Their secondary structure includes four short double-helical elements and three loops (D, anti-codon, and T loops). Further hydrogen bonds mediate the characteristic L-shaped molecular structure. tRNAs have two regions of fundamental functional importance: the anti-codon, which is responsible for specific mRNA codon recognition, and the 3' end, to which the tRNAs corresponding amino acid is attached (by aminoacyl-tRNA synthetases). tRNAs cope with the degeneracy of the genetic code in two manners: having more than one tRNA (with a specific anti-codon) for a particular amino acid; and 'wobble' base-pairing, i.e. permitting non-standard base-pairing at the 3rd anti-codon position. The record is from RNAcentral.